Molecule: long non-coding RNA, 16155 nt
Filed under: Gossypium barbadense (sea-island cotton)
Lineage: Eukaryota; Viridiplantae; Streptophyta; Magnoliopsida; Malvales; Malvaceae
Description: long non-coding RNA (GBAR_LNC020324)
Source: RNAcentral
CGUAUGGAAACAGCAACUAAAAGCAUGUAACAGGUCCCAAAACAGGUCCCAAACAAGGAAAGUGUUAUGAGAAUCACUACACCAAAAUAGGCUUUUAGCGGCGCUUUUUUAGGCCUUUAGCAGCGCUUUUUAGCGCCACUAGCGCCGCUAAAAACGCCGCUAAUGACAGUGUCGCUAACUUUAGCGGCGCUUUUUCCACAAACGCCACUAAAGACCAAGACCUUUAGCGGCGCUUUUACCACAAACAUCACUAAAGACCAAGACCUUUAGCGACGCUUUUCCCACAAACGCCGCUAAAAACCAUGACCUUUAGUGGCACUUUUACCACAAACGCCGCUAAAGACCAUAGCUUUUAGCGGCGCUUUUCAAACAAACGCCACUAAAAAUAUAUCUUUUAAAAAAAUUAAUUUUUUUCAAAUAAUAUUUAUUUCUAUAAUAAAUAUUAUAUUAUGUUUUAAGGAUAAAUAAAAAAUAUUAUUUAAAUUAAAUUUUCUACAAAAAUUUUAACUUUAAAACUAAAUAUAAAUAUAAAAAUUAAUGAAUUUAAAUUUAGAAUUUAAAAUAAUAAAUUAAUAACACAAUUAAAAUCCAAAAGUUAGAACACUUAAGUAAAAAUAAAAAUUUAGAAUCAAAACUAAAAUAAAUGAUACAUAUGCAAGGUAAUAAAAUAUACAAUGCAUUUUCUUAAUCAAGUAAAUCUUGGUUACAAAACUAACACAGAAAAUAACACAGUAUACAGUAUGUUUUGUCUUUCACAUUUUAAAAAUAAUAAUAAUAGCAUGUUUGUUUGCAUGCUACCAUGAUCAAAACACAAAAAUGAAGUUCUCCACCUAAUACAAAUUUCUCCUACGAAUGUGCAGAAUCAGAUCUCUAGAUUCUCGGAGUUCUUCAUCUGGUGCUGUCUCGAUGGUUUUGAUUAUUGUGUCAUCUAGCUGGAUUCAAAAAAAAGAAUAGAAUGCAAAGCAUGUUAUACAUUUGGACUCCAAAUUUUUAGCAACUCAAAAGAAUGCUAAGAAUGUUGUCCAACCUUCCAGUACUCACAAGGAUCUUGAAUAAAAAUGAAAUCAGACCUCACCACUUCAUAUAAGAAGCCUACACAACUAAUUACACAAAAGAAAAAGAUGAGAAAAAAUAACAAUGUAAAAAAGACGUUUGAAUGAGAUAAUAUAGAACCCAGAGUUAACUCUGUGAAUACCUUCACUUUAGAGUGGGUGUACACAGUUCGAUAAAGAUCAGCACGAGUAGCAAAUAACUUGUGGAUACUAAGAUCUAGCAAGAGCACCCAUUACCAUUAUUAAGGAGUAAAAAAACACUAAAAGAACUAAACAUGUAUUUUGCAAGUAAAUGAAUUAGAUGAUACUAACAGUCUUUAGCACGAUAGCAGAUCUCAUCACCCAAAACUCGCAGUCUCCAUGAACCUGCAGGUGGUGUAGUAUGUAUAUUAAGUUUCACUUACUUAUCCACAUCAAUUCCAUUCUAACCAUUUGCAACAAUAUCAUAUAAGAAUUGCUUCUCCUUUGCACUCUUCAAAGUAAGCACAAAAUAGUGUAUGUGUUAGAUAAAGAAAAGAAACAAAGAAUGUUUGUACUUCAUACUGGAGCAAAAUAUAAAAAAUCCAGUGAUCAACAUGUGCCUACACUUAAAAUAUAAAAAAUCUAGUGAUCUACCGAAAUUAAACUAUUCAUCAAAAUGAUUGCAAUUAACUGAGUUAAAACAUGAUUUUUUUUCUUUUCUUGCAAAUAUCUAAAGUUUUUUAUACCUUCCCAAAUGGUGAAACAAGCUGGUGAAGUGCUGUAAUUCUGUCUCCUAAUUUUUCUUUCCUCACCUGCCAUAUAACAUAUAUAUGUAUAUAUACAAGUCAGAAAAAAAGAAAAAGUAGGUGAUUAAUUUACUAUUUUACUUUCACUUAAACUAUAUUCUCUUUUUCAUACAUUAAUAGAAUAUGAUAGUUACAGCAAAAAAAAAAGAAAAAGAAUCAUCCCUCUAGAAAUCGACAACCAAACAAGGACAACAGUUUUUACCACCCCACAUGUAUUUUGUGUAUGUGUAUAUAUAUAUAUGCUUGUGAGUGUGCGUGUGCGUGUGCGUGUGCGUGCAAUCUGUAUUGAGAUAAAAAAAAACAUAUAUUUAAUUAUAUAAAAAUUAUGAUAAAAGUAUCAUGGAAGUCCCUGUACUAAAAGGUGGAUUACAUUUUGCCCUUUUACUCAAAUGGUUUAAUUUAAACACUCAUUCAACAGCUAUUACCUAAAAUGCUACCACUUUUGAGGUAUAAAAUCAGUGGAAGUCUAAAUGAACAAAGUCCUAAGCCAAUCAAAACAAAGUCACCAAGAAAUGAAAAAACAAUCUGUUCUUAUCCUUUCGAAACAGUGACCAAAUACAAUGAAUUCAAAAGGUUGUCCUUUUCAUAUCUGCUUAUCAACCAAAUACGCAAUGAGAAAAAAAAAUCAUGAUCCGCCAGCAGAAAAGCUUGAAAUUUGAAUGGAUCAAAUGAAACAUAAAUCUAAUGUAAAACACACCUGGAGAAAGCUUAAAAGAAGAGCUUUGAUGAGAUUUUCUGGUGUGAGCUCUGGCUGACGCUGCUGAUAUCUUCCUUCUAACUUCCCCAUUAUCGUCCCUCAAAACCCAAUAAUCUGUAAAACGAAGACUCCCCCAAAUUACUUCAGAUGUCUCUCUUAAAUUCUAUUUAAAAAAAUUAAAAAUCUAUAAAAAAAAUCAGUUACUAUAAAAAAAAGAGAUAAGUGUGAAUUAAAAAUAUAAUCCCAAAUACUGAUUCAAUUGCAGACUGGGAUUUAUUUCUUACCUCAAAGGUACAGCAAUGGUUGUAACCUCUGUAACCUGUUUGUGAAACCUCUGUAACCUGUUUUACUAGUAAAGCCGAUAAUAAUCCAGAAACUGGUUGUAACCUCUUUGUAUUUGCCUGGGAAACCAGAAAUCUUCUCAUUAUCAGCAUAUGUUGAUUUUUUUUAUAAUGUCGCAGGGAGGGAGGGAGGGACAGAAAGCAAGAGAGACGGCGAAGAGUUUUAGGAGGGAAAAUUAGGGGUUUCGGGGAAAUUUGGGGCUAAAAUGGGGGGAGAAUUUUUAAAAGUGAAAUUAGGGUUUUUAGAGGGAAAUUUUGGGAUAAAACGGCGCCAAGUGAAAUUAUUUUUGCGACGUUUUAAAAAAAAAGCCGGGAAUGUACCUUUUGUGGAUUUUUUUUGAAAACGUCACUAACAAAUUUAAAUUCUUUUAUUGAAAUGACGUCGUUUUGAGAAAUAUUAAUACAUAGUAACGGCGUUUUUUGCUAAAAACGCCGCUAAAGCUCUCAUAUUUUUUAUAUUCAAUUAUUGUAUCUUUCAUAUAAAUUAUACAUAAAAGAAUUAUUAAAAUUUUAAGUAAUAUUUAAAAGAAUUAAAUAAUAUUAUAAAUUUAGUUUUCUUAUUUCAUUUUUAUUUUUGUAUUUUUUUCUUAUAAUUUGGUCCUAUCUAAAUUAAAUAAUUACCUAUAUAUCCAUAUCAAAUAUAUCAAAUGGUUUAAAUUAAAUAUUUUUAAAUAUAAAAGCAGUAAUUAAUUGUAUAAAAUUGUAUCAUUUAACAAAUCUCAAAUAAACCUUAAACCCUAAAUUAACCAUUCAAUAUACAUAAAGUCUAUCUAUUAUAUAUCUCUUACAUAAUAUAAACUAUACUCAUAAUUUCAAUAUAUUAAAUUUAUUAUUAUCUCUUUUACAAUUAUAUAAGAACAUAUUUAAUAUAUAAAUUAAAAAAUCAAUUAAUCUAAACCCUAAACCUUAACCCGACCCUUGAAACCCUAAAUCCCUAACUCCUAACCCCUAACUCUUAACCCCUAAACCUUAAAUCCCAACCCUUAAACCAUAAUCCCUAAAUCUAUAUAUAAUCCCCGAACCUUAAAAUAGUAACUCCUAAACUGGCUUUAAAUAUUAAAUUAACCAUAUACCGUAAACCAUAUAAACCCUAAACUAUAAUGAUAAUUAAUUAAAUAUUUUAAAAUUAAUACUAUCUUAUCUUUUUCAAUUAUAUAUGAAAUUAUUUAAUAUAUAAAUUAAAAAACAUCAAUAAAAUAUAAAUUAAAAUGCUUUUUUUUGGAUAAUUUAAUGAAUAUGGCAGGAUUAACUCUAAACCCCUAACCCCUAAAUUCUAAACUUAGCCCUAAACCUUAAACCCCAACCCUUAAACCAUAAACCAUAAACAAUAAUCCCUAAACUAUAAUGAUAAUUAAUUCAAUAUUUUAAAAUUAAUACUAUCUCUUUUACGAUUAUAUAAGAUAUUUUUAAUAUAUAAAUAUCAAACACGUCAUAGACACUUAAAACUUUGAGAUAGUUAUACUAUUUUUUAUUUCACUUAUAGGAACCUCAUACACUCAAGCACUGCAAGUCUUUUGUGAAUUAACCAAUGGUUAUGAAGAUCUACUACUUACGGUUAUCAAUGCCAGCUGGAAUCACAAAUAUUAACAAGAAUCAGACAUAGAUAGCAAAAUUAAUCAAGCACUUUCAAGGGACAUUCUAGCAGUUCUUUAAAGAAAUGGAUUUCAAUCCAAAAUUCAACAGUUCUGUAACUAGCCUAGCAGACAGAUGGAAAAAUAAUAUUUAUUUUAGAGAUCAGUCUACCUCUUAAGUGGAAUAACUUUCUAUAAACUUUAACCUUGUGAACUUUUUUAUUAAUAUAUUUCUUCUAAUACUUCUUAGAGAUAAUCACAGUCAAGAGAUUCAACCAUUAAGAUUCAAUGGAUGGUUAAUAUAAGACCAAACAAAGACAAUGCAUCUAAUUUAAUAAGCUCAGCAGUGCUCACGAAUAAAGCAAAACAGUGUAUAAGAAAUUAUUUAGUAUGUAAAUUAAAAAACACUCAGUAAUGUACCCAAAAAACUUAAAAACUAUUUUAAAUAAUAGUAUUUUAAAUCAUGUACCCAAAAAACUUAAAAAUAUUUUUUGCGGCGCUUUUUAAAAAACGCCGCUAAAAAUAGAGCAUUAGCGGCGCUUUAUCAAAAACGCCGCUAAAGACCAGAGCAUUAGCGGCGCUUCUUCAAAAAUGCCGCUAAAGACCCGAGCAUUAGCGGCGCUUCUCCAAAAACGCCGCUAAAGACCCGAGCAUUAGUGGCGCUUAUUCAAAAACGCCGCUAAAGACUCGAGCAUUAGCGACACUUCUUCAAAAACGCCGCUAAAGACCCGAGCAUUAGCGGCACUUCUUCAAAAAUGCCGCUAAAGACCCGAGCAUUAGCAGCGCUUUUCGAAAAAUGCCGCUAAAGCCCUGAAAAAUCAAAAAACGAUGUCGUUGUGCUUGGGUUUUUUGCGACGCUUUUUGAAAAAUGCCACUAAUGUUCAUUUUUAGCGGCGUUUUCCAAAAAACGCCGCUAAUACUGGAUCUUUAGCGGCGUUUUUCCUAAAGCGCCGCUAAUGCUUGAUUUUUAGCGGCGUUUUUUGUUCAAACGCCACUAAAAACGCCGCUAAAAGCCUAUUUUGGUGUAGUGAAUAAACAAGUAGAUUGAACGGCUGGGUAGGAGAUAGGCUGUUAAAACAGUUGUUGCCCAAAAGGUUAAAGUGUUGUAUAACCAAAACAUUGUGCACACGUUUAGUAUAGGUUCUAUUUUUUUUUCUUCAGCGGGUGGAGGACUUGGUACGGGUCCAGUGCUGGUUAAACCUAAAGAUGCGUCAUACUUGAGUUGGAAAUUCUGGGAAUUUGAAAUGGUACCAGGCUGCUUUGGAGGGUUCAAAGUGGCAGUGUAUGUGGCUGUUAUAAUUAGCACUGUGACUACUAAAAAUGUGUUACGCAUCUCAUGUGGGAUUCCCUUUGUUGACACCAUUUUUUUUAUAAAACAAGGUCGACUUGGGUUUUAAAAAUGAAAACAAACACGAGAGUCGCCACCAAUCCUUUUUGAUAAGGUGUGAUCGGGCCACCUUAAAAGUGGUUAUUUUUAAUAAACAAUUUAAUUUUAUUAAAACAACGAUUUCGGUCCACGAAAUUCAAAAAAUCGGUUCAGGAGUCGUUUACGUACGAGGAAUGAUUAGCACUCUCGUAACGCCCAAAAUUGGUACCUAGUUGAUUAAUUAACGUCUUAAUGUUGAAGGUCGAAAGAUUUUAAAAUACGAUCCUUAUAUUAAAAACUUGGAUAAAUCAAAUUAGCCGUUAGGACCCUCUCAUUUCAGAGAGAGAAAAUAUUAUACCCAAUGAGUUAGGGCAUGAUAUUUCACCUCUUCAAAAAUGUGCUUGUCUAAACAACUCGUACAGUAAAAUUUAAAAGGAUAUUCAAUUGUUUAAGUCAGGUGAAAAAAUUGUAGCCCAAUACGUUAGGGCACAAUUUCUCAAAAUUCUAAACAUUGAAUAUUGCCUUUAUUUAUUUUUUAGAAAAAUUCACGUCUCGAGAAAACAACGUGUCAUAUCCAAUGCGUUAGGAUUCAACGUAUUGAAUUCCCGAUAAUGAGUUUUUAUUUAUGUUUUUGAUUAAAGAGCAUUCUCGAUUAUUUAGAUUCAACGAAGAAAAUUAGAACCCAAUACGUUAGGGCUCAAUCCUCUCGAAAAUCCCAGAUAUUGAGUAUUGCUAUUAUUUUAGAAAUUUUCCUUUUUUCCAAAUCUGAGUAAAAAUUGAUGUAAUGGAAUAACAAUUAUGAUAAUAUAAGUAAAAAUAAUAAGAGCAAAAACAAAAAGAUAAAUAAAUAAGAAGACAAAUAUUAAUAUAUAAAAAAAUCAUUCAUGUAUACACAAUAAACAAGUAAUAAGCAAAUAAAAGUGAAACAUUCUUUUAAAAUAAUAAUGAAAGCGUAAAUAGAUAAAUAAAUAAAGAAAAUGAAUAAAAUUAUAAGAAUGUAAAAAGAUAUAUGUAUGUACAUAUAUAUAUAAAUUAUAAGAUAUAAUAAGAAAUAUAUAUAAGCAUGUAUAUAUAUAUUUAUAAAAAUUAAAAAAUAUGUAUAUAGAUAUAUAUAUGCAUAAAAAUUAUAAAUUAUAAAAUAUAAAAAAAAUAUAAGAAUGUAUAUAUAUGUAUAAAUUAUAAAUAAGUUAUAAAAAUAUGUACGGGUAUAGGUAUAUAUAUAUUAUAAAAAUGUAUGUAUGUGUAUAUAUAACAAUAUAUGCAUGUGUAUAUAGAUAACAAAAUUUGAAGUUUAAAAAGUAUAGAUAAUAAUAUUAAUGAUGUAAUAUAAUAAUAAUAAUAUAUUAAAAUGAUCAAUUUAAUAAUAAAUAACUAAAAUACCAAGCAGAGGACUAAAUCGAAACUAAACAAAACUUUAGGGCCGAAAUCAAAAAUGAAGAGUAGAGAAAAGGACUAAAUCAUAACGCGUCUGAAAGGAAAAGGACCAAAAAAGAAAUAAACCAAGUCACCCAAAACGCAGCGUUGCAAUGGACUAAAAUGAAAUCAGUGAGAAAUUAUGCAGUCCAAUUUGAAGAAUAAAAAAAAUCAAAUUAAAACAAAGUGCAAAGGUGGAGGGCUUAAUGCGCAAAUAUCCCUCCAAAGUAAAAAAACACGCGGAUCCUUCUCAGGGUCGGGUCACUGCGCGGGUCAGGGCUAAAACGGCAUCAUUUUGGCUCCUGACCCUAAACAGCAAAACGCCGCCGUUUAAUAACCUUUAUUUAAAACAUAUUUUUUCUUAGAAAAAAAAUCAUUUUUUAGGGUUUUAGAAUAAAAUUGCAGAGGAAGAAACUCUCCUGUCGUCAGCCGAAUGGGCCACCAUCGGCCCCGCCGUGGGCGGUGGGCAGAAGGCCAAAAGUUGGGUUUUUUAAACCCCGCUUCAAGGGCCGUCUGAAGAUCGAGUUUUCAUGACCCUAAGGCCAUAGGAAGAAACCCCAAACGUCGCCUUCCCCAUCCGCUUUCGGUGACUCGAAGGACUCCGGUGACGACACUUACACGGCGAUUCAGGUAUGUUUUCCUUUCUCUUUUUAUUCUAUUUAUUUCGUAUGUAAAAAAAAAGAAGAAAUGGACCGAGAGAAAAAGCCAAUCGGAAAAUGUAAAAGGAAUCACCUUUAAAACUGUUUUCUUUUUUUAUUUCUUGAAUGUUCGUGGAAAAAAAAAGAAAAAAGACCCCCUUACAGAUGUAAAGAUCGGUUUUUAAAUCGAUUCUCCCCCCAAAAAAAUACAAAAAGUUUUUUUUUUAUUUCUUUCUAUUCUUCCUGUCACUGCUUCGGUUGCUUUGCAAGUACUUGAUGGUGGCAAGUGGCGGUGGGUAGGUGACAGAGGGCAAGUGAGCGGCGAUGUGACAAUGGCGGCUAAUCAGGGCAAGUGGGCGACAGAGGCUGCGACGCUAGGCUAGGGUUUCAGAAAAUUGAAACCCUAGUUUGACUGGGUUUGUUGGGCUGGUUUUUGGUCUGUAUUUGGGUUGUUUGUUUGGGCCAAGUUUGGGUUGAUAUGGUUAUAAUGGGCCCUUUGUAAUUUUUUGGGUUUGCCUGGGCAAAAUUCGGCUGUACACCCUUCUUUCCACGACUUGCUAUUGUUGCAAAUUUUUGAAGACUGACACCUUUCCUUUUAAAGAUUCGAUGUGGAAUGAAGAGAUGGAGGCUUUGGGAAGCGAGGAAGAGGAACCACUCAAACCUCCUGCUUUGCUUAUCAUGUCUUUAAUGGACUCCUUAUCGUCCACUCUCCCUUCAUCCAAUGGGUAUUGUGAUGGGAUAUCAAGUGCAGUCAAUCCCUUAGCAUUUUUGCAUUGAUAUGGUCAGCACACAAGCGUUUCAACAGUAAUUUUACCACCUGUUAAUUAGAAUAUUCAUACAAGUAACCUUUGAGUAUAUAUAUACAUAAAUAAUUUCACUUGCAAAAUUAUCAUACCUUAGGUCUGUUUCUGAUAGCAGCAACAUGUAAAACAAUGUUGCCAUCAAUGUCUGCCCAACUCAGAAGUUCUUUCUCCCAACAGUUGGCAGCUUUAUGGCGGCUCCUUAUAAGCCACCCCACCAAGACUUGGAAAGCUUCAAACCUGUCAUUUUUUACAUGAUUCUUUACAUGUUUUUGGUUCCACUGCAUAUUAUCAUGUAAAAGAAUCUAAGUUAGACCCAAGAGCAAAGAAAGCAUUAUUCAUGGGUAUAACUGGUGGAGUAAAAGGAUACCGUCUCUGGUGUCCUGAUACAAGGAAAAUUAUUUUCAGUAGAGAUGUGACUUUUGAUGAAUCAACCAUGAUGAAGAACAAUGAUUCACAAAAGGAUAACACAACCAAUGGCACUUUGCAGCAGGUGGAGCUUGAAAAGGUUAAUGAUGAUCCAGCUAAUAUUGAAGGAACAAAUGAUGAAGAAGUUUCGACCCAAGAACUUCUACAGCAACAUGAUUCAAUUGCAUAUAGAAGGCCAAGAAGAGAGAUUUGUAUGCCUGCUCGCUUUAAUGAUAUGGUGGCCUAUGCACUUCCAAUUACAGAUGAUGAUGUUCCUUCUACUUACACAGAAGCAAGAAGUAACCCUGAUGGUGUAAAGUGGAAGCAAGCUAUGAAUGAAGAAAUGCAGUCUCUUCAUAAAAAUAGGACUUGGGAGUUGGUGACACUACCCAAAGGAAAGAAGGCAAUUGGAUGCAAAUGGGUAUAUUCAAAGAAGGAAAGAUUUCCUGAUAAAAAUGAAGUUCGAUACAAGGCUAGAUUGGUAGUAAAGGGUUACGCUCAGAAAGAAGGAAUAGACUACAAUGAAGUAUUUUCUCCAGUUGUGAAGCAUUCGUCUAUUCAGAUUUUGCUAGCCUUGGUUGCGUAAUAUGAUCUUGAACUAGUUCAGCUCGAUGUGAAGACCACAUUUUUACACGGUGAUUUGGAAGAGGAAAUCUAUAUGACUCAGCCAGAUGGAUUCAAGGUUACUGAUAAAAAAAAUUGGGUUUGCAAACUGACAAAGUCACUUUAUGGAUUGAAACAAUCUCCGAGGCAGUGGUACAAGAGAUUUGAUCAGUUCAUGAAAGGGCAAAGGUAUACAAGAAGUAAAUUUGAUCAUUGCGUGUAUUUUUAGAAGCUACAAGAAGGAUUUUUCGUAUACUUGCUCUUAUAUGUUGAUGAUAUGUUGAUAGCAUCUAAGAGUAAAGUUGAAAUUGAGAGAUUGAAGACUCAACUCAACCUUGAGUUUGAGAUGAAAGAUCUAGGUGAAGCUAAGAAGAUCCUUGGCAUGGAAAUAUGUAGGGAUAGAGCUCAUGACAGAGUUAGUUUGUCUUAGAAGCAAUAUUUAAAGAAGAUACUACAGAAGUUUGGCAUGAACGAGCAGACUAAAGUUGUAAGUACCCCGUUGGCUUCUCAUUUCAAGCUUUCUACACAACUCUCUCCUUCGACAAAUAUGGAACAAGAAUACAUGUUACAAGUUCCGUAUUCUAAUAUGCAAUUGUGUGUACAAGACCCGACAUUUCACAGGCAGUUAGUAUAGUGAGCAGGUAUAUGCAUAAUCCUGGAAAAGGACAUUGGCAAGCUGUGAAAUGGAUUCUACGGUAUAUUCAUAAGACCAUGGAUAUUGGAUUACUGUUCAAGCAGGAUACUACACUUGGUAAAGGUGUUGUUGGGUACGUUGAUUCUGAUUAUGCCGGUGAUUUGGACAAACGGAGAUCAACCAUUGGUUAUGUGUUUACUCUUGCUGGAGGACCAAUAAGUUGGAAGUCUACACUGCAGUCUACAGUUGCGUUGUCAACCACAUAAGCUGAAUACAUGGCUGUAACAGAGGUUGUAAAGGAAGCUAUUUAGUUACAAGGUAUGGUUAAAACCUUGGGUUGGUUCAGGAGCAUAUUAAUGUGUAUUGUGAUAGUCAAAGUGCUAUUCAUUUAGCAAAGAAUCAAGUCUAUCAGGCACGUACAAAGCAUAUCGACGUACGUUUCCAUUUUGUGCGGGAAAUUAUUGAUAACGGGAAAAUUCACCUUCAGAAGAUUAAGACUGCAGAUAAUCCUGCAGAUAUGAUGACCAAGGUGGUAACAACAAUCAAGUUCGAACAUUGUUUGAACUUGAUCAAUAUUCUGCAUGUUUAACACUUGAAGAAUCCACUAUCAAGUGUUGUUGACAAAGGCAGAGAGAAUUGUGUGAAGAUAAGAUUACUCGAAUCAAAUCUUCAAGGUGGAGAUUAUUGGGAAUUAUCCAUAUUUAUGGAAAAUCAAAGAUAUGGGUAUCAAAUAAUAGAAAUUCAAAGAUAUGGGUAUUAAAUAUUGGAAAGUCAAAGAUAUGGGUAUCGAGAUAUUGGCAUCAUAAAAUUUGAGAUAUUUGCAAUAUAUGGUCUCUAAUUGUAAAGUGACUUUGCAAGUUGAUCCCUGAACCUCAACUAUAAAUAAGCAUGACCAUCUCUCAUUCUGUAUCUCAAACUUGCCAUUCUUUACUUAAGGCAUUGUUUUCUCUCUCUCUCUCUUUGUAAAUUCUCACUUGUAUUUUGGAGUGAAAUAUAUUUGGUAGUGGCCGAGGAUGUAGGCAAAAUUUGCUGAACCUCGUUAAAUUAUUGUGUUCUUUAUUGUAUUAUUCUGCAUGAAUUGUGUGUGUGAUUGUAGUGAUUUAUUGUGCCAUUAAAUUACGAUUGAGGGAUAUUCUGGCUAAGGAAGACCUGGUACUUAAGCGAUCCUUGUGAUCCACCUCUCUUUCCUGGGAAUUGAACUUAGUGUGAUUUUUUAGUACAAAAAUUUUACUCUUUUACACGCUUCCGCACAACAUCUUUAAUGAUAAAAGCUUAAAGAAUAAUCUUUAAAAUUUGGUUGUUGGUAGCUUUAUUUGGGUAGAAUUUGAGAUUUAGUUCAUAUAUUUUAAAUGUUAAAAUUUUAAUUUUUUUUACUUUUUCAAUUUAAUAUUGUAAAAUAAAACCAUAAAAAAAAUUGUGUACAAAUAGUAUUGAAUUUACAUAAAAAUAUAUAAAAAAUGCAGCAUAAAUUUGAAUAAUAAUACAUGAACACUUAAAAUGAUAAUAUAUGAAAAAAAACUUAAGAUAAUAAUAUACGAUAAAUUUAAACAAUAUUAAUAAUGAAUUUAAAAUAAUAUUAAGCAUAAAUAUUAAAAUAAGGUUAGAUUUAAAAAUAUAUAAAAAUAAUGGAAUAAUAAAUACUUAAAUAAAUUAGAAAAAUAAGCAAAUUAAAUCAAGCUAAUAAGGAUUAAAUUGGAUUUAAAACAAAAUUAGAAGGCAAAAACGUAAAUAAAAUAAAAUAAAGGACCCAAUUGAAAGGCGCGAAUAACUCAAAGGGACCAAAUGGGGAAAUAUCCCCGCCUUUUGAAAUGCAUCGUUUCACCAGGACCAAAUCAGAAACCAAAUAAAAUUUAAAGUAUCAAUUGAAGAAAAUAAAAAAAAUUGAAUUAAAAUAAUAAAAAAUACGGAGGGGGCAAAUGCAUAAAUAUCCUUACCAAGACCAGAACAGGCAGAUCUAGCUGCCUCUGGGUCGAGUCAUCGGGUAUAGUCAAUACGGCACCGUUUUGGAGCCAUUGAAACAGACUUUAAAUGGUGCCGUUGCAUGGCCUUUAUAAAACAAAAAAAAAAAGAAAAAUAAACAAGUUUUUAGCCAUUUCGAAUCAGAUAAAAACCUUAGCCACACGCCGUUUAGAAGCCUGGCCAUUCAAAGGCCAAUCGAUCCCUGUCUGAACUUCGAUUGCGACAGAGUGAGCAAGGAUUCGACACCACCAAGUAAUUUUCUCACCUUAAAUCGUUUUUUUCUUUUUUUACACAUGAUGAGUAAACAAAUAGAUGAGUCUAGAACAGAAAAGAAAAACAACGAAAAGAAAAAAAAAGGUUUCAAAUCACCUUUAGAAAAUUCUGAUUCUUUGAUUUUUCGUCCCCUUUUAUAGAUUUUUAAUUGGCUUUUUAUAGCCGAAACGAAAAAAAGAAAAUAUGUAAAAAAGAAAUCUAUUAUGUUAUCUAGCUAUUUUCAUUUGCUGGCAUAUUGUUGCUCGCUUUUUACUGUUAUUCGUUUCUGUUUCAGGUGUACGAAGGAGCGAUGACGUGGAGGUGCAACACGCGUGGAGGCCUGGUUCCCAGCUGCGGCGUGGACUGUUCCAAAAACCCUAGGGGUUUCUGGAGAUUUCAAAUUGGGCCACUUCAAAUCGGGCUAGGGUUUAAUUAAGUCUAGGAUUGUAUUAGGUCUAGGAUUGGGUUAGAUUUUGGGUUUAGGCCUCAAUCCGAAUUUGGCCUAUUGUAACUGAACUUUUGGACUUAUUAAUGGUUAUUUUGGGUAUUGGGCUAUUAGGGUUUGUUGGGUUUGGGUUUUAGAUAUUUGGGCUGAUUUGUGUUUGUUUAUUUUGGGUUGUUUGUGUAAUUCUGGAAUUUUUAUUUUAUUGGACUUUUAUUUUUUGAUUUGGUUUUUUUUUUGUGUGGGCUCGAGCAGAUUGGGCCUGCUACAAUAUUGAUGCAAAACUUUGUCACUAAAGUGCAAAUUGUAACAAUAGUUAAGUAGUCUUUUGUUCGAAUAACAUUAGAAGCACAUCAAAGUCAAAGCACAUAGACUUUAAGUUCAUUGUUGUUAAAAUAAAAGUUUAGGGUGGUUAGAUGUCUAUAAAGUAUAUUGAGACAAACUCCAUGGUUGUGGAUUCGCUUAUUAAGGGACUACCACCCAAAGCUUUUUUCCUGAGCACACUGUUGAUAUGUGUGUAAUGUCAUUCAAGGAUAUUUGAUUUUAGUAGGAGUUUGUACUUUUAAACGUUUUUAUGUUAUAAAUACAUUUUCAAUUAUUUUAGUUUACAAAUAUUAAGUUUUUUUUUUGUAGAAAGAAAGUUUAUUUGGUAAAGUUUGAUCUCACUAAGAUUAAUGUGGACCGGUUAGAAUAUGCAUGUUUGAAUCAUAUUACAUGUAAUUUUCAUGUUACACAUCCAUACUUAAUCUAUGUCAUUUGGUUGUGCUAAUAUAUGUGAUUAAGGCUGGAUUUAGUUAUGAUAUAUGUAACAAAGUUGCAUUCUUUCUAUGUUAACAUAAUUAAUGGACAGAUUGUUCGAAAUGCCUUUUAGAUACGAUAGUAAAAUUUUGAGCUCAUAAGGUUAUAUAAUGACAUGUAAUUAUAAGGUAAUCGGUAUAUAUAUAUAUGUCAUCCAAGUGGUAUAUAUGGACAUCACAUAUAUAAUAAGCAUGUUACAUGUUAUUAUUUACUAUCAUAAAAGAUUAACUCAAAUUAAAAGUGACCUAAUUUGGUUAAGAUUUAUUGGAUUUUAGUUAUUAAAUAAAAUAUAGGUCAAUAAUAUGUGUAGAUACUCUAGUAACUAAUUUCUAAUUUAUGAUGGGCUGAUUAGAAAUUAGGUUAAUGUGAAAAUGUUAUAUAUUAGGAUUUUAGUCUCCAAGUUACGCAUAUGUAACUUUUCUAAUAUCCCAUCUUGAGAAAAGAGAGAGUCACCUUCUUUAGAUUACUUGUGAGCUAAUUUGGAAGAUCAAAACCUUAAAAUUCGUAGAUUUCAAGAAAUCGGUAAAUUCAAAUACGCUUCUGCAUUUAGUUUUGUUCUUAAUUAUUUGACAUGAUAGAUUCUGAUUUAUUAAGUUUUGUAAAAGAGUUUUACGGUUUUAAUAGGAUAAUUACGAAUCCCAAAUAUAAACUGUAAAACGGACAUGAAGAAUAUAAAAGAAAUAUUACAAGAAUUUUGAAAGAGAAAAUUAAAUUGAAAAUUUUAAUGUUAUUUUUAUCUUUCAUAAUUAUUUUUAUUUAUAUUUUAUUUACAAGAACAUUUUAUUAAGAGUUUAUUAGGAUUAAGUUUAUUUUUACUUUUAUUAAAUAAAUGUUAGACUAAAAAUAAACUUUUUUUUCCACUGUUGGUAUAAUGGAUAGUAGGCUAGGUUGUCCUUUUUUAUUUGUUUAGGCACCCGUGUAUGAGAAUAAUUUAUAUUAGAAUAGUCCUAAAGGUUAAAGAUUUUAAUAUUAAUAAAAUUUUGUCACAUCAUUAAAUUUUAAAAAUAUAAAAUUAUUAUUAUACAUUCGUUCAUAUUAAAUUUACUUUUUAACUUUCGUUCUUCUUAAACAUAAAUAAUUAAAAUAAAAAUAGAAAAAUAGAAUAUUUAAAAUUUAUACAAUCCUUAAAGAUUUAAUCCAAUAUUUUUUUUUGUUUUAAAAAAUGUAUAAUAUGAAAUAGAAAAAAAAAUUAAAAUGGAAAAACUCCAUUGCCUAUAAACUAAUUUUUUUUAAAAAAUUGGUUACAAAAAUUAAAAAUAUUAACUUCUGAAAAAAAACUAAAAAUGAUUAAAAUUUAUAAAAGAAGAAAAGAUGUUUAUUUAUAAUUUAAAAAAAUUAAUUAUUUUAAGUAAUUUAAUUAAAGUUAAAUUAAGUUAAGAAAAAGGAGAAAUGGAUAAGUAUAUAAUAAUACAUAAUUUGUUAAAUAUAUAAAGAAAUUUAUUUGAUUUAGUACCUAAAUAUUAAUAUUCGAAACUCUCGAUUUUUCACAAUUUAUUCAAUCAAAUUUAGAUCCAACUUUAAUUAUAUUACAAAGACAUUCUAUUUUAUUAUUUUAUUAACGGGUGAAAAAACUUAGUUCAACCCAUAAACAUUGACCACAAAGGGAAAUUUGAAACACUUACCACCAAUCCCCUAUCAGAAAGUCUUUCCCACAUUCAACUAGAAAUCAGAGCUCACCAAAAUGUUUAUUCUUUUCAAUCUGAACCGACUCUACAAUCACUUAUUGCUCAUGGUCUUCAGCCUAUAAACCCAGAAGCAUUAUUAACUUCUAAAUCCAAAACACUAAUAUCAGCAUCCAACCCUACAAUGGUAGUCUUAUUGACUCAUUUAAACAAGUUUCCUUUGUCAAUCUAUAUUCCAUAUUGGGUAAUCUCCAAUAUUAAUUCAGAAUUUAGGAUAGCUGGAACAAGAAUAACAGCAAAGAUGCAAAGCGAAACGACUUGUAGGAGGAGGAAGAACCUUCUUUUGGGUACAAACCUGUAUAGCAUAUAAUAGGAUGUCCUGUAUAAUGUCACGAGAGCUAGUACCGUUGCCAAGCAGUAAUUAGUAGUGCUGAGUUUAGAAUAGGAAACGGAUCCAGGAGUCGAAAGAUAGAAAAAAUACUGAAGUGCGAGUGUCCGUAUGGAAACAGCAACCAAAAGCAUGUAACAGGUCCCAAACAAGGAAAGUGUUAUGAGAAUAAACAAGGACAUUGAACGGCUGGGUAGGAGAUACGCUGUUAAAACAGUUGUUGCCCAAAAGGUUAAAGUGUUGUAUAACCAAAACAUUGUGGACACGUCUAGUAUAUUUUCUAUUUUUUUUUCUUCAGCGGGUGGAGGACUUGGUACGGGUCCAGUGCUGGUUGAACCUAAAGAUAUGUCAUACGUGAGAUGGAAAUUCUGGGAAUUUGAAAUGGUAUCAGGCUGCUUUGGAGG